CCUACGGGUGGCAGCAGUGAGGAAUAUUGGUCAAUGGCCGGAGGGCUGAACCAGCCAUGCCGCGUGAAGGUCAGUGCCCUAUGGGCGUUAAACUUCUUUUGUGCGGGAGCAAUAAUGGUCACGUGUGGCCAGACGAGAGUACCGUACGAAUAAGCAUCGGCUAACUCCGUGCCAGCAGCCGCGGUAAUACGGGGGAUGCAAGCGUUAUCCGGAUUUAUUGGGUUUAAAGGGUGCGUAGGCUGUGAGGUAAGUCAGCGGUGAAAUGCCCCCGCUCAACGGGGUGAAGUGCCAUUGAUACUGCCUGGCUGGAAGGCGGAGGCGGUGGGAGGAAUGUGUGGUGUAGCGGUGAAAUGCAUAGAUAUCACACAGAACACCGAUUGCGAAGGCAUCUCACGAAUCCGCGAUUGACGCUGAUGCACGAAAGCGUGGGUAUCAAACAGGAUUAGAUACCCGGGUAGUC
Molecule: ribosomal RNA, 460 nt
Filed under: uncultured bacterium
Lineage: Bacteria
Description: partial 16S ribosomal RNA
Rfam family: Bacterial small subunit ribosomal RNA
Source: RNAcentral